ACCAAAGACAUUACACUAGGUUAGCUGUUGACCAUGAUGGGGUUUAAACCAAAGACAUUACACUAGGUUAGCUAGCUGUUGACCAUGUUGGGGUUUAAACCAAAGACAUUACACUAGGUUAGCUGUUGACUGUUGUGGGGUUUAAACCAAAGACAUUACACUAGGUUAGCUGUUGACCAUGAUGGGGUUUAAACCAAAGACAUUACACUAGGUUAGCUGUUGACCAUGAUGGGGUUUAAACCAAAGACAUUACACUAGGUUAGCUGUUGACCAUGAUGGGGUUUAAACCAAAGACAUUACACUAGGUUAGCUGCUGAUCAUGAUGGGGUUUAAACCAAAGACAUUACACUAGGUUAGCUGUUGACCAUGAUGGGGUUUAAACCAAAGACAUUACACUAGGUUAGCUGUUGGCCAUGAUGGGGUUUAAACCAAAGACAUUACACUAGGUUAGCUGUUGACCAUGAUGGGGUUUAAACCAAAGACAUUACACUAGGUUAGCUGUUGACCAUGAUGGGGUUUAAACCAAAGACAUUACACUAGGUUAGCUAGCUGUUGACCAUGAUGGGGUUUAAACCAAAGACAUUACACUAGGUUAGCUGUUGACCAUGAUGGGGUUUAAACCAAAGACAUUACACUAGGUUAGCUGUUGACCAUGAUAGGGUUUAAACCAAAGACAUUACACUAGGUUAGCUAGUUGCUGACCAUGAUAGGGUUUAAACCAAAGACAUUACACUAGGCUGGUCAUUUGUUGCCUAGAUGAAGGUGAAUGAGAGAAGUGGUGAAUGAAAAACAGAAUGACUCUUCCAUAAACUCCCAUAACAUAUCAUAACAUACUAAAAACAACCAUAACAACCAAAUCCUUUACAUCACACACGCAAUGGACAUUCCAGUUAACAUACAUACAUACCAUAACACACAGUUAUUACUAACAUAACUUAAACUUUAUCAAAAUAGGCGAGUAUUAUAAGGCACUAUAUAGUCUAAACUUAACAAUACUUAUUUGAUGCUGUUUGGAAAUACCACAAGUUGUUGCUCAUUCAUUGCUGUGAUACACACAAAAGGAUGACAUCAUCUACUUGUGCCAUGACAAGACAAAAAUGUAUCUACUUCCUGGGUCAAAGGUCCUUGAAACGGACACGUUUCAUUGGGCAGGUGCAAUAUCAGUCAUAAUAACACCGUGGUGCCUGAAAAGAUAGGUCCUCGUCAACAUUAUACAUGGCGAAACUUGAGUAGUGAGACACUUGACAGAAAUAUAAUAGUCACACAUAUACUUAUUGCACGGGUACUGAAUCAGAGAGAGAACGCUUAUAUAUCUGGGAGCAUUCCAAUGAGAAAAUUACCUUCACCCAUUCCUCCCUCCUUUCCUCCAUCCCUCCCUCCUUUCCCCAUCCCUCCCUCCAUCCCUCCCUCCUUUCCUCCCUCCUUUCCUCCAUCCCUCCCUCCCUCCUUUCCUCAUCCCUCCCUCCCUCCUUUCACCCAUCCCUCCCUCCUUCACCCACCCAUUCCUCCCUCCUUCA
RNAcentral lists this long non-coding RNA (1517 nucleotides) under Salmo salar (Atlantic salmon). RNAcentral describes it as "lncRNA (ENSSSAG00000114727.1)". The record is from RNAcentral. Lineage: Eukaryota; Metazoa; Chordata; Actinopteri; Salmoniformes; Salmonidae.